UGGAAUCCCAUGGCACCAUAAGCUGGA
This 27-nucleotide non-coding RNA is filed under the name Homo sapiens (human). Lineage: Eukaryota; Metazoa; Chordata; Mammalia; Primates; Hominidae. The record is from RNAcentral.